Molecule: long non-coding RNA, 1405 nt
Organism: Panicum virgatum (switchgrass)
Lineage: Eukaryota; Viridiplantae; Streptophyta; Magnoliopsida; Poales; Poaceae
Exons: 3
Source: RefSeq, a predicted model, not a curated record
GUGGUGGUGUUGGAUCAGCAAUCGUCUCUGCCAUCACCUCUUUGCCAUCGCAGAUGAUCUUGACUUUGCAGUAGACAGGCCUUACCGCACAUUGGACUUCGAAAUUCCCAGCACUAGCUGUUUUAUGUGCAGGACAGGAACAAGUUCAAUGAUUGCGUUAGCGAUUUGAUCGCUCUCGAUGAGGAAUUUCUGCAGCAUUUCUCGCCUCUUCGAUCUCUCUUUGUUCAAGUAGGUUUCGAUCUGCUCUGGGCUCGCUCGGCUUUUAGGCAUCAUUCCUACUAUUUCAGAAAUUGAUGAUGUGUCAGGUUCCUCACAAAAUACUAAUUUUAACUGACAGCAACUCUUUAAGCAAAUUCAGCUAAACAAAUCCAUGUUUUUGUUCUUUUCCUUCUGUUAAGUUGCUGAACCUACUAGUCUAUUUUCAUCUUGUCAGUGUCACUGUAUCAACGACUAGAAGCUUGCAGAAUGGAAUCCCACUGUGCUGAUCUUGUUCACACUUUAGUGGUAGUCUAACAUCACAAUUGACAUCCCAUACUAGCAUGCGCCCUACUCUACCCGGCAUGUCACAGCUCUACUUUUUGGCACUCUAUGGUACACGUUUCUUGCUAGCAUUCGCUACCUGGAGCUCAAAGGAUGUAUGUGAUCUUUGAGAAUAGAUUCUACAAUCUUCACUGAAGGAAAAAUCAUGUUUGGUUGCUGAAAAUACAGCUUAUAUAUAAAAGAAAAAAAACAUUUAGAGGUACAGGUCACAACUAACGCGUAUAUCUCGGAUCUUCUACAAGGUCAGCAUCAGCCACUUGGAAUUUUGCUUUUGCAGCUUUGCGACGGUGCAAAACCCAGUCUUAGGCGCAAGAUGUUUACAACAAGGCUCCAAGGAAACUCCAGCGCAUGAAGGCGACACCUUUGAAAGUCCAAGAACUUGACCCUUGAUCCUUCCAUCACGACCAUCAUCUCUGUUCAACUAGUGCGCGAAAGCCGGCGCUUUCUGGGACCCCAAUUAAUAAUGGUGACCCGAAACAAGACUGCUUGUUUGCAAAUUGCAACAUUGUCCCUCUUACUCGUUGUUACGGUUGUAGUCCUGAUUUGACUCUUAACCUCCAAUUGCCAAAGAGGAUGGUUUCUGUUCGAGUUAGGCUCGAGGAUCUUGUGACAUUGGAAGGAUCCAUGUCGGCGAGGAUACAAACCUGAAUGUAACCCAAGAGUUUUCACAGGAAACACUAGUAGUUUGAUCUGAUUCGAUCCAUUCCUACAUGACUCUGGAAAAAUCCUCGUGUUUCAAACGGCAGCAUGCAUGCUUAACUCGAGUAAAUCGGAGCAGGUUUAUGAUCGUGAAUCGAACCAGAUGGUGAGGUCAGGAGAAGCAGCAGAUGGGGUAAGAGUAGUAGUGGAGAUCGCUCACAUGGUG